RNAcentral lists this ribosomal RNA (372 nucleotides) under uncultured organism. RNAcentral describes it as "partial 16S ribosomal RNA". It matches the Rfam family "Bacterial small subunit ribosomal RNA", at positions 527 to 896 of the family's 1533-position model. The record is from RNAcentral.
GUAGGUGGCAAGCGUUGUCCGGAAUUAUUGGGCGUAAAGCGCGCGCAGGCGGUUUUUUAAGUCUGAUGUGAAAGCCCACGGCUCAACCGUGGAGGGUCAUUGGAAACUGGAGAACUUGAGUACAGAAGAGGAAAGCGGAAUUCCACGUGUAGCGGUGAAAUGCGUAGAGAUGUGGAGGAACACCAGUGGCGAAGGCGGCUUUCUGGUCUGUAACUGACGCUGAGGCGCGAAAGCGUGGGGAGCAAACAGGGAUUAGAUACCCUGGUAGUCCACGCCGUAAACGAUGAGUGCUAAGUGUUAGGGGGUUUCCCGCCCCUUAGUGCUGCAGCUAACGCAUUAAGCACUCCGCCUGGGGAUACGGCCGCAAGGCUG